GCUGCAGCAAUAGUUUGUACAGAUCUAUCUUUAUUCAAUAUUCAUCAUGAGGAAGCUGCAGCAAUAGUUUGUACAGAUCUAUCUUUAUUCAAUAUUUAUCAUGAGGAAGCUGCAGCAAUAGUUUGUACAGAUCUAUCUUUAUUCAAUAUUCAUCAUGAGGAAGCUGCAGCAAUAGUUUGUACAGAUCUAUCUUUAUUCAAUAUUCAUCAUGAGGAAGCUGCAGCAAUAGUUUGUACAGAUCUAUCUUUAUU
RNAcentral lists this long non-coding RNA (251 nucleotides) under Mytilus galloprovincialis (Mediterranean mussel). The record is from RNAcentral. Lineage: Eukaryota; Metazoa; Mollusca; Bivalvia; Mytilida; Mytilidae.